GUUAAGCGACUAAGCGUACACGGUGGAUGCCCUGGCAGUCAGAGGCGAUGAAGGACGUGCUAAUCUGCGAUAAGCGUCGGUAAGGUGAUAUGAACCGUUAUAACCGGCGAUUUCCGAAUGGGGAAACCCAGUGUGAUUCGUCACACUAUCAUUAACUGAAUCCAUAGGUUAAUGAGGCGAACCGGGGGAACUGAAACAUCUAAGUACCCCGAGGAAAAGAAAUCAACCGAGAUUCCCCCAGUAGCGGCGAGCGAACGGGGAGCAGCCCAGAGCCUGAAUCAGUGUGUGUGUUAGUGGAAGCGUCUGGAAAGGCGCGCGAUACAGGGUGACAGCCCCGUACACAAAAAUGCACAUGCUGUGAGCUCGAUGAGUAGGGCGGGACACGUGGUAUCCUGUCUGAAUAUGGGGGGACCAUCCUCCAAGGCUAAAUACUCCUGACUGACCGAUAGUGAACCAGUACCGUGAGGGAAAGGCGAAAAGAACCCCGGCGAGGGGAGUGAAAAAGAACCUGAAACCGUGUACGUACAAGCAGUGGGAGCACAGAGCAAUCUGUGUGACUGCGUACCUUUUGUAUAAUGGGUCAGCGACUUAUAUUCUGUAGCAAGGUUAACCGAAUAGGGGAGCCGAAGGGAAACCGAGUCUUAACUGGGCGUUAAGUUGCAGGGUAUAGACCCGAAACCCGGUGAUCUAGCCAUGGGCAGGUUGAAGGUUGGGUAACACUAACUGGAGGACCGAACCGACUAAUGUUGAAAAAUUAGCGGAUGACUUGUGGCUGGGGGUGAAAGGCCAAUCAAACCGGGAGAUAGCUGGUUCUCCCCGAAAGCUAUUUAGGUAGCGCCUCGUGAAUUCAUCUCCGGGGGUAGAGCACUGUUUCGGCAAGGGGGUCAUCCCGACUUACCAACCCGAUGCAAACUGCGAAUACCGGAGAAUGUUAUCACGGGAGACACACGGCGGGUGCUAACGUCCGUCGUGAAGAGGGAAACAACCCAGACCGCCAGCUAAGGUCCCAAAGUCAUGGUUAAGUGGGAAACGAUGUGGGAAGGCCCAGACAGCCAGGAUGUUGGCUUAGAAGCAGCCAUCAUUUAAAGAAAGCGUAAUAGCUCACUGGUCGAGUCGGCCUGCGCGGAAGAUGUAACGGGGCUAAACCAUGCACCGAAGCUGCGGCAGCGACGCUUAUGCGUUGUUGGGUAGGGGAGCGUUCUGUAAGCCUGUGAAGGUGUACUGUGAGGUAUGCUGGAGGUAUCAGAAGUGCGAAUGCUGACAUAAGUAACGAUAAAGCGGGUGAAAAGCCCGCUCGCCGGAAGACCAAGGGUUCCUGUCCAACGUUAAUCGGGGCAGGGUGAGUCGACCCCUAAGGCGAGGCCGAAAGGCGUAGUCGAUGGGAAACAGGUUAAUAUUCCUGUACUUGGUGUUACUGCGAAGGGGGGACGGAGAAGGCUAUGUUGGCCGGGCGACGGUUGUCCCGGUUUAAGCGUGUAGGCUGGUUUUCCAGGCAAAUCCGGAAAAUCAAGGCUGAGGCGUGAUGACGAGGCACUACGGUGCUGAAGCAACAAAUGCCCUGCUUCCAGGAAAAGCCUCUAAGCAUCAGGUAACAUCAAAUCGUACCCCAAACCGACACAGGUGGUCAGGUAGAGAAUACCAAGGCGCUUGAGAGAACUCGGGUGAAGGAACUAGGCAAAAUGGUGCCGUAACUUCGGGAGAAGGCACGCUGAUAUGUAGGUGAAGUCCCUCGCGGAUGGAGCUGAAAUCAGUCGAAGAUACCAGCUGGCUGCAACUGUUUAUUAAAAACACAGCACUGUGCAAACACGAAAGUGGACGUAUACGGUGUGACGCCUGCCCGGUGCCGGAAGGUUAAUUGAUGGGGUCAGCGCAAGCGAAGCUCUUGAUCGAAGCCCCGGUAAACGGCGGCCGUAACUAUAACGGUCCUAAGGUAGCGAAAUUCCUUGUCGGGUAAGUUCCGACCUGCACGAAUGGCGUAAUGAUGGCCAGGCUGUCUCCACCCGAGACUCAGUGAAAUUGAACUCGCUGUGAAGAUGCAGUGUACCCGCGGCAAGACGGAAAGACCCCGUGAACCUUUACUAUAGCUUGACACUGAACAUUGAGCCUUGAUGUGUAGGAUAGGUGGGAGGCUUGGAAGUGUGGACGCCAGUCUGCAUGGAGCCGACCUUGAAAUACCACCCUUUAAUGUUUGAUGUUCUAACGUUGACCCGUAAUCCGGGUUGCGGACAGUGUCUGGUGGGUAGUUUGACUGGGGCGGUCUCCUCCUAAAGAGUAACGGAGGAGCACGAAGGUUGGCUAAUCCUGGUCGGACAUCAGGAGGUUAGUGCAAUGGCAUAAGCCAGCUUGACUGCGAGCGUGACGGCGCGAGCAGGUGCGAAAGCAGGUCAUAGUGAUCCGGUGGUUCUGAAUGGAAGGGCCAUCGCUCAACGGAUAAAAGGUACUCCGGGGAUAACAGGCUGAUACCGCCCAAGAGUUCAUAUCGACGGCGGUGUUUGGCACCUCGAUGUCGGCUCAUCACAUCCUGGGGCUGAAGUAGGUCCCAAGGGUAUGGCUGUUCGCCAUUUAAAGUGGUACGCGAGCUGGGUUUAGAACGUCGUGAGACAGUUCGGUCCCUAUCUGCCGUGGGCGCUGGAGAACUGAGGGGGGCUGCUCCUAGUACGAGAGGACCGGAGUGGACGCAUCACUGGUGUUCGGGUUGUCAUGCCAAUGGCACUGCCCGGUAGCUAAAUGCGGAAGAGAUAAGUGCUGAAAGCAUCUAAGCACGAAACUUGCCCCGAGAUGAGUUCUCCCUGACUCCUUGAGAGUCCUGAAGGAACGUUGAAGACGACGACGUUGAUAGGCCGGGUGUGUAAGCGCAGCGAUGCGUUGAGCUAACCGGUACUAAUGAACCGUGAGGCUUAACCUU
RNAcentral lists this ribosomal RNA (2905 nucleotides) under Escherichia coli. RNAcentral's name for it is "23S ribosomal RNA". It matches the Rfam family "Bacterial large subunit ribosomal RNA". The record is from RNAcentral. Lineage: Bacteria; Pseudomonadati; Pseudomonadota; Gammaproteobacteria; Enterobacterales; Enterobacteriaceae.